RNAcentral lists this transfer RNA (86 nucleotides) under Candidatus Bathyarchaeota archaeon. RNAcentral's name for it is "tRNA-Ser". It matches the Rfam family "tRNA". From Rfam's summary of the family: Transfer RNA (tRNA) molecules are approximately 80 nucleotides in length. Their secondary structure includes four short double-helical elements and three loops (D, anti-codon, and T loops). The record is from RNAcentral. Lineage: Archaea; Thermoproteati; Candidatus Bathyarchaeota.
GCCGGGGUAGCCUAGCCAGGGAAGGCGCCGGACUCGAGAUCCGGUUCCCCAUAAGGGGAACGAGGGUUCAAAUCCCUCCCCCGGCG